AAAUGCAACGAUUUUGAUGCCCAACAAAGGCCAAUCGCCCGAUCGCCC
RNAcentral lists this small RNA (48 nucleotides) under Sinorhizobium meliloti 2011. Its description in RNAcentral is "putative ncRNA". The record is from RNAcentral. Lineage: Bacteria; Pseudomonadati; Pseudomonadota; Alphaproteobacteria; Hyphomicrobiales; Rhizobiaceae.